UACGUAGGGGGCGAGCGUUGUCCGGAAUCACUGGGCGUAAAGCGUGCGUAGGCGGUCAAGCAAGUCCGAGGUGAAAGACCGAGGCUCAACUUCGGGGUGGCCUUGGAAACUGUUUGACUUGAGUGCUGGAGAGGCAAGGGGAAUUCCACGUGUAGCGGUGAAAUGCGUAGAUAUGUGGAGGAAUACCAGUGGCGAAGGCGCCUUGCUGGACAGUGACUGACGCUGAGGCACGAAAGCGUGGGGAGCAAACAGGAUUAGAUACCCUGGUAGUCCACGCCGUAAACGAUGAGUGCUAGGUGUUGGGGGGGUUACCCUUCAGUGCCGAAGGAAACCCAAUAAGCACUCCGCCUGGGGAGUACGGUCGCAAGACUGAA
This 374-nucleotide ribosomal RNA is filed under the name uncultured bacterium. RNAcentral's name for it is "bacterial SSU rRNA". It matches the Rfam family "Bacterial small subunit ribosomal RNA", at positions 524 to 898 of the family's 1533-position model. The record is from RNAcentral.